AAAAAGACAAAUCCUGAUUUCCGUAUCCAACGUUUGACUAUCCGUCUUAUUUAAAAAAAUUAUAAAAAAAUUAAAAAAGAUAAGUCACGCAUAAAAUAUUAAUCAUGUUUUAUCAUCUAACAGCAAUGAAAAUACUAAUUAUAAAAAAAAUUUAUAUAAGACGGAUAGUCAAACGUUGGCACGGAAAUCCAGGGUUUGCUUUUUU
Non-coding RNA from Oryza glumipatula, 205 nucleotides. Lineage: Eukaryota; Viridiplantae; Streptophyta; Magnoliopsida; Poales; Poaceae. The record is from Rfam.